UACGGAGGAUCCGAGCGUUAUCCGGAUUUAUUGGGUUUAAAGGGUGCGCAGGCGGGAGAUUAAGUCGGCGGUGAAAUUUUGCAGCUCAACUGUAAAAGUGCCUUCGAAACAGGUUUCCUUGAGUGUAGAUGAAGUAGGCGGAAUUUGUGGUGUAGCGGUGAAAUGCAUAGAUAUCACGAGGAACUCCGAUUGCGCAGGCAGCUUACUAAACUACUACUGACGCUCAGGCACGAAGGCGUGGGGAUCAAACAGGAUUAGAUACCCCUGUAGU
Molecule: ribosomal RNA, 271 nt
Filed under: uncultured prokaryote
Description: partial 16S ribosomal RNA
Rfam family: Bacterial small subunit ribosomal RNA
Source: RNAcentral